GGUUCAGUGGUCUAGUGGUUAUGAUUUCUGUCUCACACACAGAAGGUCCCCGGUUCGAUCCCGGGCUGAACCA
Molecule: transfer RNA, 73 nt
Organism: Cylindrobasidium torrendii FP15055 ss-10
Lineage: Eukaryota; Fungi; Basidiomycota; Agaricomycetes; Agaricales; Physalacriaceae
Rfam family: tRNA
About the family: Transfer RNA (tRNA) molecules are approximately 80 nucleotides in length. Their secondary structure includes four short double-helical elements and three loops (D, anti-codon, and T loops).
Source: Rfam